This 468-nucleotide ribosomal RNA is filed under the name uncultured bacterium. Its description in RNAcentral is "partial 16S ribosomal RNA". It matches the Rfam family "Bacterial small subunit ribosomal RNA", at positions 28 to 507 of the family's 1533-position model. The record is from RNAcentral.
GACGAACGCUGGCGGCGUGCUUAACACAUGCAAGUCGAACGGAAAGGCCCUGCUUUUGUGGGGUGCUCGAGUGGCGAACGGGUGAGUAACACGUGAGUAACCUGCCCUUGACUUUGGGAUAACUUCAGGAAACUGGGGCUAAUACUGGAUAGGAGCUCCUGCUGCAUGGUGGGGGUUGGAAAGUUUCGGCGGUUGGGGAUGGACUCGCGGCUUAUCAGCUUGUUGGUGGGGUAGUGGCUUACCAAGGCUUUGACGGGUAGCCGGCCUGAGAGGGUGACCGGCCAAAUUGGGACUGAGAUACGGCCCAGACUCCUACGGGAGGCAGCAGUGGGGAAUAUUGCACAAUGGGCGGAAGCCUGAUGCAGCAACGCCGCGUGCGGGAUGACGGCCUUCGGGUUGUAAACCGCUUUCGCCUGUGACGAAGCGUGAGUGACGGUAAUGGGUAAAGAAGCACCGGCUAACUACGUG